Long non-coding RNA from Cydia amplana, 481 nucleotides. RefSeq lists it as uncharacterized. NCBI's taxonomy places the organism in Eukaryota, Metazoa, Arthropoda, Insecta, Lepidoptera, Tortricidae. The transcript is spliced from 2 exons. The record is from RefSeq and is a predicted model, not a curated record.
CAAAAAACGGAACCCUUAUGGAUUCGUCAUGUCUGUCUGUCUGUGCGUCUGUCUGUCCCCACUUUUCUCCGAAACUAUAAGAACUAUACUGUUGAAACGUGGUAAGUAGAUGUAUUCUGUGAACCGCAUUAAGAUUUUCACACAAAAAUAGAAAAAAAAACAAUAAAUUUUUGGGGUUCCCCAUACUUCGAACUGAAACCCAAAAAAUUUUUUUUUCAUCAAACCCAUACGUGUGGGGUAUCUAUGGAUAGGUCUUCAAAAAUGAUAUUGAGGUUUCUAAUAUCAUUUUUUUCUAAACUGAAUAGUUUGCGCGAGAGACACUUCCAAAAUGGUAAAAUGUGUGUCCCCCCCCCUGUAACUUCUAAAAUAAGAGAAUGAUAAAACUAAAAAAAAUAUAUGAUGUACAUUACCAUAUAAACUUCCACCGAAAAUUGGUUUGAACGAGAUCUAGUAAGUAGUUUUUUUUUUAUACGUCAUAAAA